UCGUCUGGAUUCCCCACCAUGGCCUGGGCCCCUCUGCUCCUCGCGCUGCUCACGUACUGCUCAGGGGUCAGUUCGCAGCCCGUGGUGACUCAGGAGCCCUCGAUGUCGGUGACCCCAGGAGGGGCUGUCACUCUGUCCUGCAGCCUGAGCACUGGAGCCAUCACCACCAGCAACUAUCCAGGCUCUGCUCCUCGGCAGCUUAUAUACCAAACUAACAACAGACCCUCCGGGAUCCCUGCCCGGUUCUCUGGGUCCAUAUCCGGUAACAACGCUGCCCUGACCAUCACCCGUGUCCAGGCAGAGGAUGAGGCUGACUAUUACUGUGUUGUACAUACUGGUACUGGACAACACCCUGAGUGUCCUGGAAGUUAG
Malaclemys terrapin pileata is the source of this 372-nucleotide non-coding RNA. The record is from the annotation of a RefSeq genome assembly. NCBI's taxonomy places the organism in Eukaryota, Metazoa, Chordata, Testudines, Emydidae.